RNAcentral lists this transfer RNA (58 nucleotides) under Cricetulus griseus (Chinese hamster). Lineage: Eukaryota; Metazoa; Chordata; Mammalia; Rodentia; Cricetidae. The record is from Rfam by way of RNAcentral.
UGGCUCAGGGGUUAAGAGCACUGGCUGUUCUUCCAGAGGUCCUGGGUUCAAUUCCCAG